UAUUCCUUCUUUAUGUAUUUCAGGUGAUACACUUGGUUCAGUUGUAUAUGUUCCAUGUGAAGUGAUGAAGCAACGCAUGCAGGUUCAAGGCACGAUGGCCUCUUGGAGUUCUGUUGUCAUGAAAGAUUAUGUCGCCAUGAAGCCCGGGUAUCCAAAUGUAUGGUUACUAUACUGGGAUGUUCCAUGCUGGCUGCUCAAUAUGGAAUGAGCAGGGGCUAAGAGGAUUAUAUGCAGAUACUGGUCUACACUUGCUAGGGAUGUGCCUUUUGCUGGUCUAAUGGUUAUGUUUUACAAGGCUUGAAAGAUUUGACAGAGUUUGGGAAGCAGAAAUACAU
Pyrus x bretschneideri (Chinese white pear) is the source of this 335-nucleotide long non-coding RNA. RefSeq lists it as uncharacterized. The record is from RefSeq and is a predicted model, not a curated record. Lineage: Eukaryota; Viridiplantae; Streptophyta; Magnoliopsida; Rosales; Rosaceae. The transcript is spliced from 3 exons.